CAACUUGAGAGUUUGAUCCUGGCUCAGAACGAACGCUGGCGGCAGGCCUAACACAUGCAAGUCGAGCGAGGACUUCGGUCCUAGCGGCGGACGGGUG
Paracoccus sp. J56 is the source of this 97-nucleotide ribosomal RNA. It matches the Rfam family "Bacterial small subunit ribosomal RNA", at positions 1 to 108 of the family's 1533-position model. NCBI's taxonomy places the organism in Bacteria, Pseudomonadati, Pseudomonadota, Alphaproteobacteria, Rhodobacterales, Paracoccaceae. The record is from Rfam.